AACUGAUACUACCUGCGGGAACCUGCGGAAGGAUCAUUACCGAGUUUACAACUCCCAAACCCCUGUGAACAUACCACUUGUUGCCUCGGCGGAUCAGCCCGCUCCCGGUAAAACGGGACGGCCCGCCAGAGGACCCCUAAACUCUGUUUCUAUAUGUAACUUCUGAGUAAAACCAUAAAUAAAUCAAAACUUUCAACAACGGAUCUCU
RNAcentral lists this unclassified non-coding RNA (208 nucleotides) under soil metagenome. RNAcentral's name for it is "partial contains 5.8S ribosomal RNA, internal transcribed spacer 2, and large subunit ribosomal RNA". The record is from RNAcentral.